GGAUGUGAGGGCAGUCUGGUUGUGACCUCUGUCACCCCGCCGAUCACCUGGGUUGAAUCGGCUGACCUGGCUGGCUAGGGGGGUGUCCCCUUCCUUCCUUACUGCCUCAUGUGUGUCCCUCCCCAAACUACCCCCUCUGUUGAGGAGGACAACCCAGACAGAGGAGGACCGCUCUUUGGUCCAGGACACACUAGUAGCUGUGCUCCCUGCUAGGACCUCCAGGCAAGCUCUCAGGGCGUCAGGGUGCAACGUCAGGGUGUUUUGCCUUUUUUUUUUUAAUAAGUUAGUUUUAUUUAUUUA
This 300-nucleotide small nuclear RNA is filed under the name Bison bison bison. RNAcentral's name for it is "7SK RNA (ENSBBBG00000002029.1)". It matches the Rfam family "7SK RNA". Rfam says of the family: 7SK was discovered as an abundant small nuclear RNA in the mid-70s but a possible function has only recently been suggested. The record is from RNAcentral. Lineage: Eukaryota; Metazoa; Chordata; Mammalia; Artiodactyla; Bovidae.